Long non-coding RNA from Anthonomus grandis grandis, 518 nucleotides. RefSeq lists it as uncharacterized. The record is from RefSeq and is a predicted model, not a curated record. The transcript is spliced from 3 exons. Lineage: Eukaryota; Metazoa; Arthropoda; Insecta; Coleoptera; Curculionidae.
AUAUAUUUUUGCGAUUAAAAUGGAACAUUUCGUUGGGAGUGUGAGAAAAUAUCCGAGUUUGUGGAAAAAGGAUUUGGAGGAUUAUAAAAGUUGGAUAAUUAAGGAAGAGGCCUGGAGAAAUGUUAUAGAUGAAUGCCAUAUAUCAGAUAAAAAUGGAUGUUACAAAAUGGCAGAAAGCUUAGAGGCUGGUAUGAAGUGUGUACUGUGUGUUAGACUAUAUUUUGAAUAAGUGAAUUGCUAUAUUUUAUUGGAUAUCAAGCUGGAACCUCAGGAGAGGCUGAGGAGCCAGCCACAACCCGGCAACCAACCCAACCCAACCCAAGCUAACCCAACACAACCCAACCCGAAGCAACCCAACCCAAUAAUUAGGAAAAUUACAAUAGGGGGAAGUAGAGGGGAAAGAAUGGGGGAAGGAAAAAUAUCCAACGGCACCGUGAACAUUCUGUUCUACAUAAACAGAGUAAUAUAUAACUUUUUUAUAUUGAUUUUCUUUUUAAAUAUAUAAUAUGUAGUUUAAA